Molecule: ribosomal RNA, 223 nt
Filed under: Selenomonadales bacterium
Lineage: Bacteria; Bacillati; Bacillota; Negativicutes; Selenomonadales
Description: Bacterial small subunit ribosomal RNA
Rfam family: Bacterial small subunit ribosomal RNA
Source: Rfam by way of RNAcentral
UUUUCGGAGAGUUUGAUCCUGGCUCAGGACGAACGCUGGCGGCAUGCCUAAUACAUGCAAGUCGAACGAACUAGAGGUUAGAGAUUAGAGGUUAGAAGUUAGACGCAGGAGUUUUCCUCGUUCUAACAUCUGACUUCCAACCUCUAACUUCUAGUUAGUGGCGGACGGGUGAGUAACGCGUGGGCAACCUGCCCCAAAGCUCGGGAUAACACUCCGAAAGGAG